Molecule: ribosomal RNA, 497 nt
Filed under: uncultured bacterium
Lineage: Bacteria
Description: partial 16S ribosomal RNA
Rfam family: Bacterial small subunit ribosomal RNA
Source: RNAcentral
GACGAACGCUGGCGGCGUGCCUAAUACAUGCAAGUAGAACGCUGAAGAGAGGAGCUUGCUCUUCUUGGAUGAGUUGCGAACGGGUGAGUAACGCGUAGGUAACCUGCCUUGUAGCGGGGGAUAACUAUUGGAAACGAUAGCUAAUACCGCAUAACAAUGGAUGACACAUGUCAUUUAUUUGAAAGGGGCAAUUGCUCCACUACAAGAUGGACCUGCGUUGUAUUAGCUAGUAGGUGAGGUAAUGGCUCACCUAGGCGACGAUACAUAGCCGACCUGAGAGGGUGAUCGGCCACACUGGGACUGAGACACGGCCCAGACUCCUACGGGAUGCAGCAGUAGGGAAUCUUCGGCAAUGGGGGCAACCCUGACCGAGCAACGCCGCGUGAGUGAAGAAGGUUUUCGGAUCGUAAAGCUCUGUUGUAAGUCAAGAACGGGUGUGAGAGUGGAAAGUUCACACUGUGACGGUAGCUUACCAGAAAGGGACGGCUAACUACGUG